CGCAAAUUGCGCCCUUUGGUAUUCCGAAGGGCAUGCCUGUUUGAGUGUCAUAUAGACCUCACCCAGAUUGGUUUAUUCAACCAAGCUGCUGGUGCUUUGGACGUCCUGCCGGACUCACCUCUGGCUCGUCUUAAAUGUCUAAGUGGAAAGAGCGUGAUAAGUCUUCGCUUAACCCUCCACUCUAAUACUCCUUUUGACUCUGGCCUCAAAUCAGGUAGGACUACCCGCUGAACUUAA
Molecule: unclassified non-coding RNA, 237 nt
Filed under: Derxomyces linzhiensis
Lineage: Eukaryota; Fungi; Basidiomycota; Tremellomycetes; Tremellales; Bulleribasidiaceae
Description: partial contains 5.8S ribosomal RNA, internal transcribed spacer 2, and large subunit ribosomal RNA
Rfam family: 5.8S ribosomal RNA (bases 1-50)
Source: RNAcentral